ACACGGGGGGCGCAAGCGUUAUGCGGAAUUAUUGGGCGUAAAGGGCGUGUAGGCGGUUUUAUCGGUCAGAUGUGAAAGCCCAGGGCUCAACCCUGGACGUGCAUUUGAAACAGUAAGACUUGAGUACGGUAGAGGAAAGCGGAAUUCCUGGUGUAGAGGUGAAAUUCGUAGAUAUCAGGAGGAACACCGAUGGCGAAGGCAGCUUUCUGGACCGAAACUGACGCUGAUGCGCGAAGGCGUGGGUAGCGAACAGGAUUAGAAACCCCAGUAGUCC
Molecule: ribosomal RNA, 274 nt
Filed under: uncultured bacterium
Lineage: Bacteria
Description: partial 16S ribosomal RNA
Rfam family: Bacterial small subunit ribosomal RNA
Source: RNAcentral